UGGGCUGGCUGGCAGACAGAAGCCUGGGACAGGGCCUCAGGAGCAUCCUGCCAACAUCCUUAAGAAAAAAAUAAACAAACACAUACCAACUUGUCCCCCACCCCCACCCCCAAAGAACUCACAUGGCAGGGCUCAAAACACAACAACAGCCCGAUUCCCAUUAGCUCAGACAAUCCUAUUAACCAGGACAGCCAUAAAUUCAUAAACCUCUACAACCCUCGAGCAAGCACUGCGGUCUGGAACUGUACAGACACACGCAGACACAGAGGAAAUUUGCACCUGUCUUUCUUGACACAACACACCUGUCAGGCCCUGCCCAUGCGCACUCUAAUAGACUUCUGCCUACCUAGUUUAGGAAAGGAAAUGAUUUUUUUUUAUAUAUAUAAGGGAGAGCAUGGGUGGAAAAGGAGAUAGAGAGAGACAGAGGAAACAAGAGGAGAGAUUCUUCUAGCCUUGACUUUGAGAGGAGGCCACCCUGUGCUUGCUCUGUUUUUAUAAGCUCAAGGAGACAACACAGACCUUCUUGGAAAAAUAAAAACAAGCAGCUCUGCCCUCUGUCUGCCUGGAGAGCCCUCAACUUCCCAAGAAGCUGGGAAGGGCCCAGAGAGCUGGGAGCCUGUGGAAAGCUGCUGCCCCCUUUACGACCCCCAUCACUCUCCCCACCAACGUGCAGUUUUAGCAGGAGGAGAAACCGGCGGCCACACGAGAAGAACGGACAACUUGCUAAACUGGACUUUGGCCUCGACAGCGUUUGGAGCGGAAAGUAAUAGAGCGCCCCCCAUCCUCUGCUCCCCACUCCCGGCCCUGCGCUGGGGUUAAAAAAGGAGAAGUGAAAGGUAUGCAAAUGGCAAGCAAAUUGGAAGAGCCGGGGAAGAAAGGCAGCUAUAAUAAACAAGACAAAGAGAAAGGACGGGAGACUAGCCCCGGAGUUUGAACCCGGGGGAGAAGGGGAGGACGAGGGGCUCGGCGGAAAGCGGGCACCUAGAGGAACAAAAAGCGACCCGGUGCCCCUCGCGGUCCUGCCUCCCGAGAAGAGAGGGCAAGAGAAAGAAGGAAAGGAAGCAAGCGCCUCCUCGGACCCCAGAAACAGUACACAAAAGAGAGAGGGAAGAAAACACGCGCGCGCACACACGGUGGUAUCUUGCGGGUGAUGACUGUGAUAAUUGGACGAGGGACGGGUCCCACGGGAACAGAAAGUUUUGAGGGAGUUUACUGUUUGUGCAAGAUGACUGGUUGGGUAAAGAAGUCAAAAGUGUUUUAUCUGCAGAACAAAUAAAGCCCGGGCAAAGGAGAAGACAGGAUGGAGCACGGAAGCUAAAGAAGACUUCAGAAAGGAAGUUUGAAUGAUGCAGGAUCUAAGGUGCUAGGAAGCUCGGAGCUGGCAGAACCUAGAACUCAGAGCCAGCUUUUACGAUGUGCUGAUGGCAACCCAGCACUGAGAAGAGGAGUGUCCAUAGGAGACCUAGGGACUUGCUGCAAGGGAGAUGGACUCUGUUACCCAGGGACACUUUGUGCAGCCAGCAGUUCUUUAGUGCCCAAACGCAACCUUGAAGCUUUAAUUUGGAAGGAUGGCAACUCAUUAACAGCGCUCCCCAAAUGAUAAUAUGAAAACCAAUAAAAUUCCCCAUCAAGGACAACUUCUCCCAGCUCCUUGCGUGG
Non-coding RNA from Microcebus murinus (gray mouse lemur), 1659 nucleotides. The record is from RefSeq and is a predicted model, not a curated record. NCBI's taxonomy places the organism in Eukaryota, Metazoa, Chordata, Mammalia, Primates, Cheirogaleidae.